RNAcentral lists this transfer RNA (60 nucleotides) under Loxodonta africana (African savanna elephant). It matches the Rfam family "tRNA", at positions 14 to 71 of the family's 71-position model. Rfam says of the family: Transfer RNA (tRNA) molecules are approximately 80 nucleotides in length. Their secondary structure includes four short double-helical elements and three loops (D, anti-codon, and T loops). The record is from Rfam by way of RNAcentral. Lineage: Eukaryota; Metazoa; Chordata; Mammalia; Proboscidea; Elephantidae.
AGCGGUUAAAAUAUUCGGCUGCUAACCGAAAGGUUGGUGGUUUGAACCCACCAGCUGCUC